Long non-coding RNA from Monodelphis domestica (gray short-tailed opossum), 2305 nucleotides. RefSeq lists it as uncharacterized. Lineage: Eukaryota; Metazoa; Chordata; Mammalia; Didelphimorphia; Didelphidae. The record is from RefSeq and is a predicted model, not a curated record.
UUUGACGUAACGCCCCGCCCCCCGAGCCCUUUUCUUUACAGCUUGGGGCGCGCGCUGAGUGAAGGAAGGCGGUACCCACGCCACCAACGUUGCUGGCGGACGGGCGCGCCUUUCAAGCAGUCUUCCAGGAACGUGAGGUCAGCUUUUAAUUUGAGCCACAUCUCUCUGGCCAAGUUUUUGUUUUUUACCCUUGCAAAGCUGCUGCUUGUUCAGUUCCAGCCAUUUUGCCUGCGGGCGGUUCAGUCCCCAUCCAGACCUGUUGCAUUUGCCGCCCACCUGGCCCCUGGCUGCUAAGUUCUGCCUGCCUGCUUCUCCUGCUUCUGCUCCUGGCCUCUCACCUGGUGCCCGAGCUCCUGGCCCUGUUUGUCUGCACUCCGGCUCUGGCCCCUGCCCUGCUCAACCCAGCGGUUUUUCUCUUGUUCACCUGGCCCACCUGAUUCAACCAAGAUUGCAUCUGGUGACCUGCCUGCCCAACAAACCCAGAGCCUUGAUCACAUUUGGAAUACAGUGCAUAAUCCUGGGCACCAAAUUUUAGAAGGGACAGAGCACAAAAUACUACCCCAAUCCUUCAUGAUGUGUUUAAGAAUUUGACAUGGUGCAUGAGUGUAAUUCCUGCUCCUGAUGGACUACCUGAACUUGGGUGUUUUGAACUGCAAUAGGACUGAGCCAGUUGGGGGUCUGUACUAAAUCUGGCACCAAUAUGGGAGCUCCUGGGAGCAAGAGACAUCCAGACUGCCUAAGGAGGGGAAAACCAACUCAAGGUGGAAACAAAGAAGGUCCAUGCCAAACCAAUAAUGGGACUGUGAAGCUCGGAAGAGACAGUCUCAAAAAAAAAAAAAAAGGUAUCGGGCCACUGAGUUCUCAAUAAAGCUUUGACAGGUUCUGCUCAAAUGAAAACGUUUCAUGUGAAGAACUGGCAAUACAAUUAUGUUUACUGCCCAAGGACAAGAUUAGCUACGUAUGUGAAGGCUCAUCACUAGCAGGGACAUGGGGCAAUAAAUUCUUUAGCCACAGCAACUCAUGAAACAUCACUAAUACAAAAUGAUACUCCAUCCUGUGCAACUUCCUGUUUCUGUAGUAACAGUGAUAGAAAAGUGUUGGGUAAAGCCUUUAGGAUUCAGUUUUUAAAUAAGGCAGGGAGAAGGGAAUAUACAUUUCUAUAAAUCCUACUAUGUAUCAGGCCCUGUGCUAAAUGCUUGUAAAACUUUUAAUGUUUAAAAACCCCUUACUUUCUGUCCUAAUUCUUGAUACAAAGUAUCUAAUCCUAAUACGAAAUAUAGCUUCCAAUGCAGAAGAAUAAUAAGGGCUGAGCAAUUGGGGUUAAGUGACUUGCCCAGGGUCACAUAGCUAGGUGGUGUCUGAGGCCACAUUUGAACCCAGGACCUUGUCUCUAAACACAGUAUGAUAUUCUAUCCACUGAACCACCCAACUGUCCCUGCUAAAUGCUUUUUACAAAUAGUAUCUCAUCUGAUCCUCACAAACAUAGGAUAAAGGUACUAUUAUUAUCCCCACUUAACAGAUGAGGAGACAGACUAACAAAAGUUAAGUGACUUUUCCAGAGUCACACAGCUACUAAAGUAUCUGAGACCAGAUCUGAUCUGGUACUUUGUCUACGAACCAUCAGCUUCUUCUACAAAGCUAAAUUCUGCUGUUAGUUCUUUAAGUGAGUACUGUUAGCCUGGAGAAGCCUUAGGUUAAGAACUGUCUUCAAUUACUUGAAGAGUUGUCAAAGGGAAAAGAAAUGAAUCUUAAUCUCUUUGGCUAUAGUGGUAACCUUGAGAUUUUAUACCAAUAGAGUAUUGUAAGAUAAUAGCUCUACUGAAGAAGUAGAAAAUAGGGAAGAGAAGUAGGAUAAUAUGAGAACUCUGAGUUUUUGACUCAACUCAUACUAUUCAAGCAUCAUCUGAAGCAUGAAGAUUCUUAACCUGGAGAAGAAAUGACUUAGAUGGGGACACAAUGAUUAUAUUCAAAUAUCUGAAAAGUUGUCAUGUGAAAGAGGAAUUGUUUUGCUCAAUUUACAGAGUGAAUGACUAGAACCAAAUGGGUAAAAGUUAAAGGGCGACAGAUUUCAAUUUAACAAGAAAAAACUUCCAAAAAUAGAAUGGGUUGAUUUGGGAAAGUAAUGAGUCUACUAGUAGCUUGAUAACUAUGUUUUUUCCUAUUAAUGAGCAUCUAUCUUCAAGUGGAAUCUGGAAGAACAUCUGUCUGUUAUGUUUUUGUCAGGAUCUAUACUAGGUGGACUAGAUGACUUCCAUAAUUCCUUGCAACUUUGAGACAAUAUGACUUACUGGUCACUCACUCUUUG